CCUACGGGAGACAGCAGUGAGGAAUAUUGGUCAAUGGGCGCGAGCCUGAACCAGCCAAGUAGCGUGAAGGAUGACUGCCCUACGGGUUGUAAACUUCUUUUAUAAAGGAAUAAAGUGAGGCGCGUGUGCCUUUUUGUAUGGACGUUAUGAAUAAGGAUAGGGUAACUCCGUGCCAGCAGCCGCGGUAAUACGGAGGUACCGAGCGUUAGCCGGCUUUAGUGGGUUUACAGGGAGCGUAGAUGGGGUGUGAAGUCAGUUGUGAAAGUUUGCGGCUCAACCGUACAAUUGCAAUUGAUACUGGCAGCCUUGAGUACAGUUGAGGUAGGCGGCAUUCGUGGUGUAGCGGU
Molecule: ribosomal RNA, 347 nt
Filed under: uncultured bacterium
Lineage: Bacteria
Description: partial 16S ribosomal RNA
Rfam family: Bacterial small subunit ribosomal RNA
Source: RNAcentral